UUUCGCAAUGCCCGAAAGGGUGACGAAGCGACGCCGCGUGCGGGAAGAAGGCCUUCGGGUUGUAAACCGCUGUCGGGAGUUAAGAAAUGUAGAGAUGUUAAUAGCGUCUUUGCUUGACUAAGGCUCCGGAGGAAGCCACGGCUAACUCUGUGCCAGCAGCCGCGGUAAUACAGAGGCGGCAAGCGUUGUUCGGAAUUAUUGGGCGUAAAGAGCACGUAGGCGGCUAUGUAAGUCGGUUGUGAAAGCCUUCCGCUCAACGGGAGAACAGCAUCCGAUACUGCAUGGCUUGAGUGCGGGAGGGGAGAGUGGAACUUCUGGUGGAGCGGUGAAAUGCGUAGAUAUCAGAAGGAACGCCGGCGGCGAAAGCGGCUCUCUGGCCCAUAACUGACGCUGAGUGUGCGAAAGCUAGGGGAGCAAACGGGAUUAGAUACCCCGGUAGUCCUAGCCGUAAACGAUGGGCACUAAGUAGAGGGGUUUU
This 478-nucleotide ribosomal RNA is filed under the name uncultured Planctomycetales bacterium. RNAcentral describes it as "bacterial SSU rRNA". It matches the Rfam family "Bacterial small subunit ribosomal RNA", at positions 364 to 832 of the family's 1533-position model. Lineage: Bacteria; Pseudomonadati; Planctomycetota; Planctomycetia; Planctomycetales. The record is from RNAcentral.